AGUGCCUAGAACAACAACAGAUGUGUGGAAUUAACUUUACAGAGAACACAGGCAGGCUUAGGGGGAGCUGACAAUCCACAUGCAAAAUAUAAAUUAAAAAAAAAAAUUGAAGACCUAACCUCCCAUGUGAAUGAGAUAGGGUCUUUAAGGAGGAACACAGAGAGGAGGCAGCCAUCUUCAAGCCAAGGAGAGCUUUAUCAUCACAGUCCCGCCAUGCUGUACCUUGAUCCAGACUUCCAAAUUCCAGAACUGUGAGAAAACCUGCUGAGCUACAGAAACCCAUAGAUUCCGCUCCAGUGAAUACCAGAGGUGGAUCACACUUAGAGACUUCUUGAGAGAACCCAAGAUGUGGCCCCAGAAGCUUUGGAAGAUUCUCAAAUAUGGAGAGUAGUUUCUACUUCCAUCCUAGAGAACUGUGGGAAGAACAUCCUGAAGAGAGCCCCACAAAGGCAGAGGAGGCACAGAUUGGCCUGUGCCUUCAGAGACUCGCCUGGACAAGGCAGAAGCAGCAUUUUGAGGACCACGUGGCUGGGUGUGGGAUGUGAAGGAAUAAUAAGGAAAGAUGGUGCAGAACUGUCCAGGCCACUCUACUCUCUAUUCCAGGCCUGAGAGCGUGAACCAAGGGGAGGCUGACACUUCAGGCUGGGUGUGAAGUCAACCCUUUGGUUUAGAUUCACCUGGACUUUUUAAUACUUGAAAGUGAGUCUUGAAAGUGUCUGGAUGAGAGAGCUUCUGGGGUGGGGAAGGAAUCUAGCAAAGCAUGUUUGAAGGCAGUGAUGCAAGAAAACGUUUUUCCUUGUGUCCUCCGUUGAGUUCAGCUCUCUCAGUACACUGGUUAUACAAAUUUAAAAAGACUCAGUCCUGUCUGAGUUCAUAUGUGUCACUGCCCUGAUUAUCAUACUGUCCUGAUUUGCAAUGCUUGUGGCCCUUCACAUGUCUGGGCCUGUACCUCUGUCACCCGAGGGUCAGGAGGAGGAUGGGGCCAAGAAUUGAGGCAAAUGCGUCUAGUAGGGUAACAGGCCAAUGUGUGCCGUGUGCCAACUGAAGCAGCCUGUCAGAGCAGGUGAAGUUCCCACUGCAAACACUCAUUUAUGAUCCUGCUGUUUCUCUAGGGUUAGAGUAGCAUGCAGACAACUGAAAGAAAGAGUUUGUGAUGUCUGCAGGACACUAUGGCUUAUUAUAUGUAGCCCCUUUUAAAAUUAAGUGGAGAGAGUCAGCCCUGAAGUUAUGGGUAUUAUCAAUAAAUACUUGAAAGCCUA
Long non-coding RNA from Bubalus bubalis (water buffalo), 1259 nucleotides. RefSeq lists it as uncharacterized. The record is from RefSeq and is a predicted model, not a curated record. Lineage: Eukaryota; Metazoa; Chordata; Mammalia; Artiodactyla; Bovidae. The transcript has 4 exons.